Oncorhynchus tshawytscha (Chinook salmon) is the source of this 544-nucleotide long non-coding RNA. Lineage: Eukaryota; Metazoa; Chordata; Actinopteri; Salmoniformes; Salmonidae. The record is from Ensembl.
CCUAGUGGUUAGAGUGUCGAGGAGGCAGGUAGCCUAGUGGUUAGAGUGUAGAGGCGGCAGGGCAGCCUAGUGGUUAGAGUGUAGAGGCGGCAGGGUAGCCUAGUGGUUAGAGUGUAGAGGAGGCAGGUAGCCUAGUGGUUAGAGUGUAGAGGCGGCAGGGUAGCCUAGUGGUUAGAGUGUAGAGGCGGCAGGGUAGCCUAGUGGUUAGAGUGUAGAGGCGGCAGGGUAGCCUAGUGGUUAGAGUGUAGAGGGGCAGGGGUAGCCUAGUGGUUAGAGGGUAGAGGCGGCAGGGUAGUCUAGUGGUUAGAGUGUAGAGCGACAGGGUAGCCUAGUGGUUAGAGUGUAGAGGCGGCGGGGUAGCCUAGUGGUUAGAGUGUAGAGGCGGCGGGGUAGCCUAGUAGUAAGAGUGUAGAGGCGGCAGGGUAGCCUACUGGUUAGAGUGUAGAGGCGGCAGGGUAGCCUAGUGGUUAGAGUGUAGAGGCGGCAGGGUAGCCUAGUGGUUAGAGUGUUGGGGCGGCAGGGUAGCCUAGUGGUUAGAGUGUAG